This 253-nucleotide ribosomal RNA is filed under the name uncultured bacterium. RNAcentral describes it as "partial 16S ribosomal RNA". It matches the Rfam family "Bacterial small subunit ribosomal RNA", at positions 524 to 776 of the family's 1533-position model. The record is from RNAcentral.
GACGGAGGAGGCAAGCGUUAUCCGGAAUUAUUGGGCGUAAAGGGUACGUAGGCGGCUGGUCAAGUCUGGGGUCAAAGGCCACAGCUCAACUGUGGGAAGGCCCUGGAAACUGACCGGCUAGAGUGAGGUAGGUGUUGCGGGAAUUCCCGGUGUAGCGGUGAAAUGCGUAGAGAUCGGUAAGAACACCUGAGGCGUAAGCGCGCAACUGGGCCUCAACUGACGCUGAUGUACGAAAGCUAGGGGAGCGAAUGGG